UGGGGAAUAUAGGACAAUGGGCGAAAGCCUGAUCCAGCCAUGCCGCGUGUGUGAAGAAGGUCUUCGGAUUGUAAAGCACUUUAAGUUGGGAGGAAGGGCUGUCGGCUAAUACCUUGCAGUUUUGACGUUACCAACAGAAUAAGCACCGGCUAACUUCGUGCCAGCAGCCGCGGUAAUACGAAGGGUGCAAGCGUUAAUCGGAAUUACUGGGCGUAAAGCGCGCGUAGGUGGUUCAGCAAGUUGGAUGUGAAAGCCCCGGGCUCAACCUGGGAACUGCAUCCAAAACUACUGAGCUAGAGUACGGUAGAGGGUGGUGGAAUUUCCUGUGUAGCGGUGAAAUGCGUAGAUAUAGGAAGGAACACCAGUGGCGAAGGCGACCACCUGGACUGAUACUGACACUGAGGUGCGAAAGCGUGGGGAGCAAACAG
Molecule: ribosomal RNA, 428 nt
Filed under: uncultured bacterium
Lineage: Bacteria
Description: bacterial SSU rRNA
Rfam family: Bacterial small subunit ribosomal RNA
Source: RNAcentral